UUGUUUAAUUUAACUUGUUCUCAGACUUCAAUUUUCUAGGUAGGGUUGGCUGAUUCCGGCAAGCGAGGGGCCUCCGCGAGCAGAGGGUCCCCCGCCGAGCGCCGAAUCCGGGCCGCGGUUGCAAAGGGUGGGGUUGGAGGCGCGAGGCCUUUACCCAGUAAUGAUCCUUCCGCAGGUUCACCUACGGAAA
Molecule: unclassified non-coding RNA, 190 nt
Filed under: uncultured fungus
Lineage: Eukaryota; Fungi
Description: sequence contains ITS1
Source: RNAcentral